AUACGUAGGGGGCGAGCGUUGUCCGGAAUGAUUGGGCGUAAAGGGCGCGUAGGCGGCGCGGUAAGUCUGGAGUGAAAGUCCUGCUUUCAAGGUGGGAAUUGCUUUGGAUACUGCCGCGCUUGAGUGCAGGAGAGGUUAUCGGAAUUCCCGGUGUAGCGGUGAAAUGCGUAGAGAUCGGGAGGAACACCAGUGGCGAAGGCGGGUAACUGGACUGCAACUGACGCUGAGGCGCGAAAGUGUGGGGAGCAAACAGGAUUAGAUACCCUGUUAGUCCACACUGUAAACGAUGAAUGCUAGGUGUAAGAGGUAUCUACCCCUUUUGUGCCGGAGUCAACACAAUAAGCAUUCCGCCUGGGGAGUACAGCCGCAAGGUUGAAACUCAAAGGAAUUGACGGG
RNAcentral lists this ribosomal RNA (396 nucleotides) under uncultured bacterium. RNAcentral describes it as "partial 16S ribosomal RNA". It matches the Rfam family "Bacterial small subunit ribosomal RNA", at positions 523 to 917 of the family's 1533-position model. The record is from RNAcentral.